AAUUAAAUUUAUCGACGCUAUUUAAGCCAAUAAUUUUCUGGCUUAUUAAUAAUUGUGGUCCAAAGCUUUUUAUAAGUAGACGCUGAAGGUUUCUAACUUUACGGAAGUUUUUUUUCUCCAAUUGCCUAACUAUACGUAUUUGCAAAUUUGCAAUUUUUCUAUGCAAGUUGUACCAAUUUACUUUUUGUGAUUGUCUCGAAUAAUAUUUAGGGAAUAUCUUCAUGAAUUUUAUAUUUUAAAAUAAAUUUUUUUCUCUUCAGGUAGGACUUGAACCUACAACCUCUCGGUUAACAGCCGUUUGCUCUGCCUUUGAGCUACUGAAGACUCUCGAUAUUAUAAGACUAUUCUCUCUUCAGAUCCUUCAAAAAGGGAAUCUAGUUUUAAUUAAGUAUUAUAUAUUAACAUACUAAAUAUUGAAAAUACUAAACAAACUUAUUGUUAUACUCUAUACUAACAAUCUUAUAUUUUAUAUAUAAGUUUAU
RNAcentral lists this transfer RNA (482 nucleotides) under Ostreobium quekettii. Its description in RNAcentral is "ribonuclease P RNA". Lineage: Eukaryota; Viridiplantae; Chlorophyta; Ulvophyceae; Bryopsidales; Ostreobiaceae. The record is from RNAcentral.